RNAcentral lists this ribosomal RNA (496 nucleotides) under uncultured bacterium. Its description in RNAcentral is "bacterial SSU rRNA". It matches the Rfam family "Bacterial small subunit ribosomal RNA", at positions 28 to 517 of the family's 1533-position model. The record is from RNAcentral.
GAUGAACGUUAGCGGGAGGCUUAAUACAUGCAAGUCGAGCGGUAAGUUUUUAUAGCAAUAUGAAGACCUAGAGCGGCGCACGGGUGAGUAACGCGUACACGACCUGGCCUAAACUGGGGGAUAGCCUUGGGAAACUGAGAGUAAUCCCGCAUGUGAUUAUGUUACUGAUGGUGAUAUAAUUAAAGCUUCGGCGGUUUAGGAUGGGUGUGCGUCUGAUUAGCUAGUUGGUAGUGUAACGGACUACCAAGGCGAUGAUCAGUAGGGGGCGUGAGAGCGUGACCCCCCCACACGGGUACUGAGACACGGACCCGACUCCUACGGGAGGCAGCAGUAAGGAAUAUUGGUCAAUGGACGGAAGUCUGAACCAGCCAUGCCGCGUGCAGGAAGAAGGCGCUCUGCGUUGUAAACUGCUUUUAUAUGGGAAGAAUAGGCGCGAUUUAUCGUGUUGUGACGGUACCAUAGGAAUAAGCACCGGCUAACUCCGUGCCAGCAGCCG